RNAcentral lists this long non-coding RNA (1018 nucleotides) under Homo sapiens (human). Its description in RNAcentral is "HSALNT0400724". Lineage: Eukaryota; Metazoa; Chordata; Mammalia; Primates; Hominidae. The record is from RNAcentral.
CUCACUGGGACCUCAGAGUCUCUUCUUGACAAUCUUGGCAAUGACCUAAGCAAUGUCGUGGAUAAGCUGGAACCUGUUCUUCACGAGGGACUUGAGACAGUUGACAAUACUCUUAAAGGCAUCCUUGAGAAACUGAAGGUCGACCUAGGAGUGCUUCAGAAAUCCAGUGCUUGGCAACUGGCCAAGCAGAAGGCCCAGGAAGCUGAGAAAUUGCUGAACAAUGUCAUUUCUAAGCUGCUUCCAACUAACACGGACAUUUUUGGGUUGAAAAUCAGCAACUCCCUCAUCCUGGAUGUCAAAGCUGAACCGAUCGAUGAUGGCAAAGGCCUUAACCUGAGCUUCCCUGUCACCGCGAAUGUCACUGUGGCCGGGCCCAUCAUUGGCCAGAUUAUCAACCUGAAAGCCUCCUUGGACCUCCUGACCGCAGUCACAAUUGAAACUGAUCCCCAGACACACCAGCCUGUUGCCGUCCUGGGAGAAUGCGCCAGUGACCCAACCAGCAUCUCACUUUCCUUGCUGGACAACCAAAAAUGUAUUGAGGCUGGGCACGAUGGCUCCACACCGGUAAUCCCAGCACUUUGGGAGGCUGAGACACAGCCAAAUCAUCAACAAGUUCGUGAAUAGCGUGAUCAACACGCUGAAAAGCACUGUAUCCUCCCUGCUGCAGAAGGAGAUAUGUCCACUGAUCCGCAUCUUCAUCCACUCCCUGGAUGUGAAUGUCAUUCAGCAGGUCGUCGAUAAUCCUCAGCACAAAACCCAGCUGCAAACCCUCAUCUGAAGAGGACGAAUGAGGAGGACCACUGUGGUGCAUGCUGAUUGGUUCCCAGUGGCUUGCCCCACCCCCUUAUAGCAUCUCCCUCCAGGAAGCUGCUGCCACCACCUAACCAGCGUGAAAGCCUGAGUCCCACCAGAAGGACCUUCCCAGAUACCCCUUCUCCUCACAGUCAGAACAGCAGCCUCUACACAUGUUGUCCUGCCCCUGGCAAUAAAGGCCCAUUUCUGCACCCUUCUGUGUGGC